ACGGCGCUGAAUGGCCGCGAUCAGGGCGUGGGCGGUGCCCCAGGGUUUAACGGCGGCGGAUGGUCGGAACGCGGAGGGACCGAGGGGGUCCCGCUGCGGAAUUGGGCGCCCGGUUCCGCAGCUUCCGGGACUUCAAGGAGCGCUUCCGCGCCUACAAGCUGGAGGAUGUGCACUGGGGCAUUAAUGAUGUUGAAGAGAACUGGGCCAAGGAUGGAGCCCUGCAGAACCCCACUAGUGACCAGAUACCAACCUGAUGUCAAUCACUACAAGUGUUUAUGCCUGACCUGUGAACAAGUUGCUCACCCAUCGCAUAAUAUGGUUAUCCAGCUGUGGGCUGGACAUCUUGUCCAGAAGAAUCCUGUGAGAGACAGUAUCAAAAGCUUUGCUGAUGUCCAAAAAGACUACAUCUACUGGCUUUCCUAGGUGAACUAGGUGAGUUACCCUGUUGUUGAAGGGAAUCAGGUUCAACAAGCAGGACUUCCCCCUCCUGAAGUCAUGUUGGCUGUGACCAAUGUCAAAAAUACCUUGUGCUCCAGGUGUUUUUUGAUACCUCCCAGAAUAAUCUUUUCUAUGAUUUUACCAGGUACUGAAGUGAGGCUGACAAUCCUGUAGUUUCUGGGGUCCUCCUUCUUGCCCUUCUUAAAAAUCAUGACAACGUUCACCAGCUUCCAGUCAGCUGAGAUCUCUCCAGAUUUCCAGGACUGCUCAAAAAUCAUCGAGAGAGGCUUUGCAAUGACAUCAGCUAGUUCUUUGAGGAUUCUCAGAUGAAUCCCAUCAGGCCCCAUAAUAACAUGUGACAAAAUUAUUUCAUCUGUGGCCAGCACCCACAGGUCCUUGCAUCAUCCAGCUGUGGGGUGUUGUGCAACAGAGCCAAUAAAUCAGCCUUGUGCUGUUUGGGAGCUGUGUCUGUCCCUGCGCCAGCUGCAGAUGCCCCUCCCUGGCCAGGGGAUGGGGUGCCAGGCAUCAGGCAGUGCUGUUUGGUGGUCGUGUGCCACCGCAGUGCCCUGGGUGGUGGGAAGUGGCAAUCCCACUGUGCUGCAGCCCCACUUCGGAGAAGGGGAGUGGUUUAUCUGGUUUCAGCAGCUGCUCUCAAUUCCUCAAGAAAGAGGAACCCACCCCUGUGUGCAGGGGUCACUGCCGGGCAGAUAACGCUGGGGGAGGUGGGGAGCAAAGGCUACAUGGCUGGGGGAGGGAAAACAGCCCAGAGAGCAAAUGCCUGGCCCAUGGCUGCUGCUCUGGGGUGGGUGAGGUCCCUGGCCCUCUUGCAGCCAGGGCAGCUCCAGCAGCUUUCAGCCUGUUGGUGGGACAUGGCAGGGAAUGUCAGAGACCUCGCUCCCGUUGCAUGGCUUGGUCAUGAUCCAUGUUUUCCCUGAUCAGCGCUCCCUUCAUUAACACUUUGGUGUUGAUGGAGUCGGCCGUCACUGCGGGCUGGGGAUUUCCUUUGAGACAGAGUUUUGUAACAUGAUCUGAUACUAUCGAGUCUCUGACUAAAUAUAGCAUCAUGUUUCCUAAAACA
Pseudopipra pipra is the source of this 1516-nucleotide long non-coding RNA. RefSeq lists it as uncharacterized. The record is from RefSeq and is a predicted model, not a curated record. The transcript is spliced from 2 exons. NCBI's taxonomy places the organism in Eukaryota, Metazoa, Chordata, Aves, Passeriformes, Pipridae.